This 86-nucleotide transfer RNA is filed under the name Deltaproteobacteria bacterium CG11_big_fil_rev_8_21_14_0_20_47_16. RNAcentral describes it as "tRNA-Leu". It matches the Rfam family "tRNA". From Rfam's summary of the family: Transfer RNA (tRNA) molecules are approximately 80 nucleotides in length. Their secondary structure includes four short double-helical elements and three loops (D, anti-codon, and T loops). Lineage: Bacteria; Deltaproteobacteria. The record is from RNAcentral.
GCCGGAGUGGCGAAAUGGCAGACGCGUCAGACUCAAAAUCUGAUAGGGGCAACUCUGUGCCGGUUCAAGUCCGGCCUCCGGCACCA